UUACGACCAUAUCACGUUGAAACACCGUUUAUAGUAAGAUCACCGAAGUUAAACAACGUUGAGCCUGGUCAAUACUUAGAUGGGUGACCACUUGAGAAUACCAGAUGUUGUAAG
Acanthosepion pharaonis is the source of this 114-nucleotide non-coding RNA. The record is from the annotation of a GenBank genome assembly. Lineage: Eukaryota; Metazoa; Mollusca; Cephalopoda; Sepiida; Sepiidae.